CCGUGUUUGAAGUAAAUGAUAAAGAAUCAAGAUGUGGAGAAGCAUGGCAUCUUUUGGGAGCUGAAUUUUAAGACCAGUCUGGAAAUUAUCCCGGGACUGAGGGUUAGCAAAACACUAAGGAACCCAGCAGGCUAAGGAGACAGCAAAAUAAAGAGACAGAGAAGUAUAAUGCUUAGGGCAUUGGAUUUAGACUCAGGAGGCACGGAUUUAGCGUCCUGCCUCAGACACUAGCUGUGUGACCCCCGAGCAAGUUCUCUGGGUCUGUUUCUGCAUCUAUAUAAUAUGAAAGGACAGAAAAGAAUAAGUAUUUACUGUGCUAAAAUAUCUCAUUUGAUCUUCACAAUAAAGCACUUUCAGAUAGAUGCUCUUAUUAUCUUCAUUUUACAUAAGAGGCAAUCAGCUGAGAGAGAUUUUGUGACUUGCCCAGUCACACUACUAGUAAGAGACUGAGGUCCUAUUUUGACACCAGUCUUCUUGAUUCCAGGCCCAGUUAUUUAGCGCUUACUGUGUGCCAGGCGCUGUGUGAGAUACUUAUUCUCUCAUUCGACCCUCACACAAACCUUACGAGGUAGAUGCUAUUAGCCCCCUCUUUGCAGAUGAGGAAACUGAAGCAAGCUGAGGUUAAAUGUCUUGUCCAGGGUCUCGCGUUUGAGGUGAAUUUUGAACUCGGGUCUUCUCGACUCCAGGCCCAUCGCUACAUCCAUUGGGCCACCAGCUGCUUCCUGCAGGUCGAGGUCGGACUUGACAUGAGGUUCCUUCUUCCUCUAUAGCUACGAUUCUACUCUUACUUUAUACUAAACUCGCCCCCAGGACGCCUUAGGGCAGGUCCAAAGCAGGGAGUGCAGUGGAAAGCUCAAUAGUCAAAUCAGUCAACAAAUACUUACUAAAGCGCCUACUACGUAUCAGGCAUUGUACAAAGCUCUGGGUUUAGGGAUCCCCCUGAAUUUCUUUCCACAUGCCAAUCUAAAUGAGGCUACCCCCUGUGCCAAUGACCUAGUCCAAGGCAGCGUGAGCCACGUACAAUCGUAGUCUUUCCUCCCUUCCCUCCUCCCCACCGACUGAAGAUCCGCGUAAUUAGAGUCCCCGCCCAGCUCGACUCAUUCUUCGCUGCUAAACCCACCUCCCCUCGGCCGUGUUGCCACCACGGCCGCCGCCCGCCGCACACCAACGUGCUGGGGCUCCCGGCAACGUCUAGUUUCGAACUGGCUGAGCGUGCAACUGCUGCAGCGGCGGCAGCGGCGCCUCACCUCUGGCUGCUCAAGUGGCUCCAGUCUCUCCCCGCCCAACGCAACCGAAGGAGCGUGCGGCGGAGGUGCGAGGUGGGGCGCAGGGAAGGAGGGAUCCCGGGACAUCCCUCCCCUUCUCUCCCGGGAAUCACAGCGGCGGGAGCAGCAGCAGCAGGUGGAACUGGACUUGUUUGGUGCUCCAGUACGGCCGCAGGGGACUGCGGUCUGAUGAGCCGAGCUUUGGUGGGUCGGAGCUGGCUUAUUUUCGCUUCCAUCUCCAGCCUUCCGGGGAUGCCACGGGCAUUCUAGAGGAGACUUUCCGGGGCUGCGGCGCCUCCAGAGUGCACGGCAUCCACGAGGAGGGAGCCGCGGCGUGAGGGCUGAGCUCCAGGAAGACACGAUUUGUUUUCGUUUCUCCUUUCCACAACCCAGAAGACCUCCCGUCCCGGGGAAGAACCUGUGGCCGGAGCUGAGAUAGUGGGUCCCUUAACGCAGUGGAGCCGGGUUGUGCCGGGCACUGCGCCGCCGUUUCUCGCGUGCGCCUGGGAAGUGCCAAAGCUGUCCAGAGUCCCGGGGCGCACCUGGAUUAAGAUAAUUGCCUUUGAUGAAUUAAGGACAGAUUUCAAGAGCCCCAUAGACCAGUGUAAUCCUGUUCAUGCGAGGGAACGGCUGAGAAACAUCGAACGCAUCUGCUUCCUUUUGAGAAAACUGGUGCUGCCAGAAUACUCAAUUCAUAGCCUUUUCUGUAUCAUGUUCCUGUGUGCUCAGGAGUGGCUGACACUGGGGCUGAAUGUUCCUCUGCUCUUCUAUCACUUUUGGAGGUAUUUCCAUUGCCCUGCAGAUAGUUCUGAACUAGCCUAUGAUCCUCCUGUGGUCAUGAAUGCAGACACCUUAAGUUACUGUCAAAAGGAGGCCUGGUGUAAGCUGGCAUUCUAUCUCCUCUCCUUCUUCUACUAUCUUUACUGCAUGAUCUACACUUUAGUGAGUUCUUAACUGAGAGAUAACCUAUGUCACCAGAGACUGACACCAGCAAAAGGACAAAGGCUUGAGGAGAGAAGGCGAUCGAUACUGGAGAUUGGAUCGGAAGGACCUGGAGGAGGUGGUGGAUUUGGAAUUGGAGGCCAUUGGUUGAACGUGUGGAGGAAAACCAGGGAGAAGGGAAAGAGAGACGCAGUGGGCAGAAUGACUGGUUCAGAAUGCAGCUCGUGGGCUGGCUGACUGUGAAGGGCUCUUUUACUCUGUGUGUUGCAGUGGCUGGCAUUCCCACACAUGAACUGUGUAUCACUCCUGAGAAUCGGGGAGGUGGGGGAGAGCACAAAGCCAAACCUCUCAUGGGGGAGAACUGCUGCUUACCCAGAGUACUCCGGAAAACAGCUCCCUGCAGUUGCUUUUCACACUGGGUUCCUGGUAACAGUUCAGAUGGACUGUGGGAGUGGAGGCUGGGCUGGCUCUCUGCAAAGGGAUUUGAAUGCUCAGAAUACACUUCCGAGCCAGAGAUGUGGCCUGUGUGGAUAGCUGACAACAGAGAAACUCUUCUUGCCUCUUCCAAGCCCUUCCGGUGCCCCCUUUGGCUAGCAGUCAUGUGUGGUCUUCCUCUGGGCAGCCUCUGAGAGUAAAACAUCCAGGGGAGGUUCAUUUUUUUGUCAUGUUCCAAUUGAUUGGUGAUGGAAUGUUGCUAGGAUUCCACAAUUAAGUUUGCUAAGAAUUCUCUCCAAAGCUGGGUAAAGGAAUAUUUCCCCCCCCCCCAAAAAAAUGGCAAAUAAGUGACUCUUUAUGGAACUCUGUUCUUAGCCCCUAGUGAUGAUGUAUCCUGUAAAAACCAGACAAGGUUUUUUCAUUCAAUGUUAAUUGGGUUUGAUAUCUCAUUAGGGAAUGUGGGUUUGAAUCUUAGCUUUACUACCUGUGAAAUUCUGAGUGAACCACUCCCUGGUCCUCAGUUUCCUCAUCUGUAUGGCAUAGAGACCCCACUGUUCUAAUUCUUAGUGCUACAGGCUGUAUUCCUGUUUUAAUAGGUAAAAUUGCAAAUGCCACUUAAUUAGUUCUUAAACUUACAAAACAGCCUGAAUAGACUGCUGGACUUGGAGUCAGGAAGCAUUGGGGUUCUUGCCUCAAAAACUUAGUAGUAUUGCCUUAUGAAAAACAAUUUCUUUGGGCUUAAUUUAGCCUCCUUAUUUGAGAAUAUGAGGGAACUAGGUUGAGUUACUUCUUAGCUCUGAAUCUAUGAUGCCAGAAUCUUUUUUACCAUCAUCUAUGACUAGAUAAUUUCCGAUCUUCCUUCAACUUUAUGAUCUCCAUUAGAGUCCAGAAUUGGAACCAGGAAGGCUCGGGUUCAAGACCUACUCUGACAAAUAAGGUCCAUGUGACCCUAACAAAUUCAUUUACCCUCUCAAUAUUCUAGAUCAAACCCAAUUGCCUGAAUCAGAUUAAAAUAUAAUUGGGAAAUGCUUAAUAACAAAUAUAAUAAAACACAGAUAAUAUUACAUUUACAUUAAUAUGUGCCCCACAGGGAUCCUUAUAUACAGUUUUGUUGAGUAAUUUUCAGUCAUAUUUGACUCUUUGUGGUUUUCUUGGCAAAGAUACUGGAGUAGUUUGCUAUUUCUUUCUCUUGUCCAUUUUCCAGAUGAGGAAACUGAGGCAAACAGAGUUAAGUGACUUGCCCAGAGUCACACAGCUAGUGAAGCUAGAUUUGAAUUCAGGAGGAUGAGUUUCCCUGACUCUAGAACCAGUACUCUGUACACUAUGGUGUCACAUGGCUGCCCCAUGUUCAGAUUAAUGGUUUCCAUUUUUAUUUGAUUUUACAUUACUGUGCUGGCCAACUCUCUAAGACUCAAAGUUACCUUGGUUAGGGAGUCUCCUGACCUGGGAGUUCUCUAAAUCUGUGAAAUCAGUCCCUAUCCCUGUUCAUCAUCACUGACUAGUGAUGAUAAACCUUUUGCUCUGAUGUGAAAACAAACAUAACAAAUAUAUUCUAUAGAACUUGGUUAGCAUCAGAUACCUGGAAGAGGACAUUAUAAUUUUCAGCUUUGCUUUUAUAACGCUUCUUUGUUCAUAUUAUACAAUUUGAUGUAAAGAUAUUUGACUAUUUAGAAAUUUUCCAUUGAAUAUUCUCCCUUUGUCAGAUGGGGUUUGUAUGCAUGACGAAGGCUGGGGGAUUGUUUAAUUGGGCAUAAAUUAUUUCUCCGCUGGUUGACACAAAUAGACUAUACACGUGCUGGUGCUCGGUUUGAAACUUGUUACUAAGGUUUAUGAAUGGUCUUUGUAUUACACACUAUGUGCUAAGUUUUUAAAAUGUAGUGACAAUUUGGGCUUCUCACCUAACUGCUUGUUUCAUUUUGCCCUCCUCACAGGCCUCUGAAUAGUUUGUAAACUGGUAGAUGGGGAAACGGGUUUUUAUAAGAAAUCUGAAAAAUUUACUGCAAAAUAAAAGAUAUUUUGUUGUGAAAUUUUGCAAGCGCCUGAAGACAGCAAAAUGGGGUAGUCUGAA
Molecule: long non-coding RNA, 4710 nt
Filed under: Sarcophilus harrisii (Tasmanian devil)
Lineage: Eukaryota; Metazoa; Chordata; Mammalia; Dasyuromorphia; Dasyuridae
Description: lncRNA (ENSSHAG00000028620.1)
Source: RNAcentral